GACGAACGCUGGCGGCGUGCCUAACACAUGCAAGUCGAACGGGGCACCUUCGGGUGCUUAGUGGCGAACGGGUGAGUAACGCGUGAGAAACCUGCCUUUCAGUGGGGGACAACAGUUGGAAACGACUGCUAAUACCGCAUAAUGUAUCGAGGGGGCAUCCCUUUGAUACCAAAGCUUAAUGUGCUGAAAGAUGGUCUCGCGUCUGAUUAGCUAGUUGGUGAGGUAACGGCUCACCAAGGCGACGAUCAGUAGCCGGUCUGAGAGGAUGAACGGCCACAUUGGGACUGAGAUACGGCCCAGACUCCUACGGGAGGCAGCAGUGGGGAAUAUUGGGCAAUGGGGGAAACUCUGACCCAGCAACGCCGCGUGAAGGAGAAGGCCCUCGGGUUGUAAACUUCUUUUACCAGGGACGAAGAAAGUGACGGUACCUGGAGAAAAAGCAACGGCUAACUACGUG
This 457-nucleotide ribosomal RNA is filed under the name uncultured bacterium. RNAcentral describes it as "bacterial SSU rRNA". It matches the Rfam family "Bacterial small subunit ribosomal RNA", at positions 28 to 507 of the family's 1533-position model. The record is from RNAcentral.